This 391-nucleotide ribosomal RNA is filed under the name uncultured bacterium. RNAcentral's name for it is "bacterial SSU rRNA". It matches the Rfam family "Bacterial small subunit ribosomal RNA", at positions 28 to 414 of the family's 1533-position model. The record is from RNAcentral.
GAUGAACGCUAGCGGCAGGCUUAAUACAUGCAAGUCGAACGGUAAGUUUGGUAGCAAUAUCAAACCAAGAGUGACGUACGGGUGCGUAACACGUAUGCAACCUACCUUGUACAGGGGUAUAGCUCGGGGAAACUCGAAUUAACACCCCAUAAUAUGUUUGGUGUGGCAUCACACUAACAUUAAAACUCCGGUGGUACAAGAUGGGCACGCGUCUGAUUAGUUAGUUGGCGGGGUAANGGCCCACCAAGACGAUGAUCAGUAGGGGACCUGAGAGGGUGAUCCCCCACACUGGGACUGAGACACGGCCCAGACUCCUACGGGAGGGCAGCAGUGGGGAAUAUUGGACAAUGGGCGCAAGCCUGAUCCAGCGAUGCCGCGUGUGUGAAGAAGG